This is a non-coding RNA of Pelobates cultripes (western spadefoot toad), 339 nucleotides long. The record is from the annotation of a GenBank genome assembly. NCBI's taxonomy places the organism in Eukaryota, Metazoa, Chordata, Amphibia, Anura, Pelobatidae.
CUCACUGCUCAAUCCUCUGCCAUUUAGGAGUUAAAUCCCUUUGUUUAUGAACCCUAGUCACACCUCCCUGCAUGUGACUUGCACAGCCUUCCAUAAACACUUCCUGCUAAGAGUGAUUAUAAUCAAACAUUCUGCAUAAUUUUGAAUUUGUUAUCUCCUGCUCUGUUAAAAGGUUUCUAAACCCUACAGGAGCUUCCUGUAUAUACUGAUAGAGCAGGAGGUACAAACAUUUAAAGUUGCCUCUGUUUUCAUGCAGGCUGUGCCAGUGACAGUCAGGGGAGGUGCAUGGUCAGAAACAAACGUGAUUUAACUUCUAAAUGGCAGAGAAUUGAGCAGUGA